Molecule: ribosomal RNA, 500 nt
Filed under: Stirellus productus
Lineage: Eukaryota; Metazoa; Arthropoda; Insecta; Hemiptera; Cicadellidae
Description: partial 16S ribosomal RNA
Source: RNAcentral
GNGUCGCCUNUUUUACCAAAAACAUUUCUUUUUGUUUUAAUUAAAAGGUAUAUCCUGCCCUAUGAGUAAUUAAAUGGCUGCAGUAUUUUAACUGUGCAAAGGUAGCAUAAUAAUUAGUUUCUUAAUUAGAAGCUGGAAUGAAUGGAUGAAUGAAAAAUAUAUUUUAUUAAUUUAAUUAUUNAAAAUUUAAUUCUGAGUCAAAAUGCUUAGAUUAAUUUUAGGGACGAUAAGACCCUAUAGAACUUUAUAUAUAUUAUUUUAAUAUAUUUUAUUAUACUAAUAUUUAAAACUUUUUAUAUAUUUAGCUGGGGUGGUUAAUACAUUUUAACUUUAUUUAAGUAAAUCAAUUUAAUUGAACAUAAUGAUCCUUUAUUAUAGGGAUUAUAAGAGAAAGUUACCUUAGGGAUAACAGCGUAAUUUAUAUGGGGAGUUCAUAUUCAUAUAUAAGUUUGCGACCUCGAUGUUGAAUUAAGAUAAUACUAAGGUGCAGAAUUCUUAGU